GAGGUGCUUGUAGAUAACCUCCACGAUGGUGCACCUUGGGCAACACAAAAGUGGCAAAUCAUCUACA
RNAcentral lists this non-coding RNA (67 nucleotides) under Invertebrate iridescent virus 6. Lineage: Varidnaviria; Bamfordvirae; Nucleocytoviricota; Megaviricetes; Pimascovirales; Iridoviridae. The record is from RNAcentral.